CCCUGCCUUUUGUACACACCGCCCGUCGCACCUACCGAUUGAAUGGUCCGGUGAGGUUCUCGGACUGCCACGCUGACGUUUUCGGACGACGGCUGUGACAGGAAGUUACCCAAACCUUACCAUUUAGA
Molecule: ribosomal RNA, 128 nt
Filed under: uncultured eukaryote
Lineage: Eukaryota
Description: partial small subunit ribosomal RNA
Rfam family: Eukaryotic small subunit ribosomal RNA
Source: RNAcentral